GUCCUCUGGGCCUGACCACAUGAGUCCUUCCAAACUCAAAUGUCUUCACAGUACUUCUACUACUAGAACCAACAGUGGUGGUGGUGUUGCUCAUUAUAUUCCAACAAACAAUUCACUCUGCGCAGACUACUUGAUUAUUGAUAAACGGUUUAAGCCGAGUUCCUUUUCUUCUGUUUCAAAUUUUCUCAGAAACCCCAAGAACACAAAAACACUACUCUACAGUGCACUAGUCCAUGCUCCAAAA
This 244-nucleotide unclassified non-coding RNA is filed under the name Hevea brasiliensis (rubber tree). Lineage: Eukaryota; Viridiplantae; Streptophyta; Magnoliopsida; Malpighiales; Euphorbiaceae. The record is from RNAcentral.